This 253-nucleotide ribosomal RNA is filed under the name uncultured bacterium. RNAcentral describes it as "partial 16S ribosomal RNA". It matches the Rfam family "Bacterial small subunit ribosomal RNA", at positions 524 to 776 of the family's 1533-position model. The record is from RNAcentral.
UACGUAGGGGGCGAGCGUUGUCCGGAUUUAUUGGGCGUAAAGCGUGCGCAGGCGGUUCGUUGUGUCGGUGGUGAAAUCCCCGGGCUUAACCUGGGAAUGGCCAUGGAAACUGGCGAACUGGAGUGCGGCAGAGGGGGGUGGAAUUCCGCGUGUAGCAGUGAAAUGCGUAGAGAUGCGGAGGAACACCGAUGGCGAAGGCAGCCCCCUGGGCUAGCACUGACGCUCAGGCACGAAAGCGUGGGGAGCAAACAGG